This 253-nucleotide ribosomal RNA is filed under the name uncultured bacterium. Its description in RNAcentral is "partial 16S ribosomal RNA". It matches the Rfam family "Bacterial small subunit ribosomal RNA", at positions 524 to 776 of the family's 1533-position model. The record is from RNAcentral.
UACAGAGGUCCCGAGCGUUGUUCGGAUUCACUGGGCGUAAAGGGCGCGCAGGCGGCCGCAUUUGUCAGGCGUGAAAGCCCCGGGCUUAACCUGGGAACUGCGUUUGAUACGGUGUGGCUAGAGUUCGGGAGAGGAGAGUGGAAUUCCCAGUGUAGAGGUGAAAUUCGUAGAUAUUGGGAAGAACACCGGUGGCGAAGGCGGCUCUCUGGACCGAGACUGACGCUGAGGCGCGAAAGCUAGGGGAGCAAACGGG